CCGGCGGCGGCUGCGCGCCUCGUCCCGGCCCGUCCCGGCCCCGGUGCCGGCUGUCAGGGUCCCCACCGGCCGUGAUGGAUCGCUGCAAACUUUUUUUUGGCGGCGCUGAAAUGUUGAAGAGCGGGGGGGAGCCGCCCGUGCGCAUGUGCGAAGGUGUCCAAACUGACAAUGCUGGAGAGAUAGCGAGCCGGGAUUGAGAGAAAGGGAGAGUGUGUGUGCGGGAGAGGGAGAGGAGAGAGGGAGAGGGGGAGCGAAAAAGGAGGAAAAGCUCCGGGAGGAAAAAAAAAAAAAGCCCCCCCCUACCCCAAGCCCACGCCAGCAUCGGCCGCGGGACUGGCAGCAUGCGAUCCAAGGGCAGGGCGAGGAAGCUGGCCGCAAGCUGUGCCGAGGCAUUGCCUUCUCCAGGGCUGCUGGAAGAAAGGGCAGCCACGGAUACGUGUGGGAGGAGGGAAGCUAGCCUGCAAUGAAUAUUGUAUUUGGUGCUAAAUAUGUAACAAAGAGAAAGAAAUGCUCUUGAUGUAUUUUUGGCUACAGGGACUGGCAU
RNAcentral lists this long non-coding RNA (544 nucleotides) under Zonotrichia albicollis (white-throated sparrow). Its description in RNAcentral is "lncRNA (ENSZALG00000005744.1)". The record is from RNAcentral. Lineage: Eukaryota; Metazoa; Chordata; Aves; Passeriformes; Passerellidae.